AUGGAUGGCUGUGGUUGGAACACGGGGCCACCCAAUCGCUCCUGCCAUCAUCUCCCCCGUCUGCACCACUCAAAACCACACCCCCUUCCAUCCUCCCUCUGCGCCAGCCUCCCUCCCUUCCUCGCCCAGCCGGCCAUGGAAGCUCUGGCCGUCGCCUCGCCGGCCGCGGCACGGCCGCAGCCCCGUCGACGACGCCUCGCCGCAGGUUCAUCGUGCCAGGGGAGGACGAGCCAGCUGCACACCUCCUUCAGCGGCAUCACCGUGCAGCGCCGGCCACAGAAGCCGCUGCCACACCGGCGAUCAUCGACGGUGGUGGCGAUGGCGACGACGUCGCGGCCGUCGAUCCAGUUCAUCCAGGGCACGGACGAGCAGACGAUCCCGGACGUGCGGCUGACCAAGUCCCGGGACGGCAGCAACGGGGUGGCCAUCUUCACCUUCGAGCAGCCGUCGGUGUUCGACUCGUCGGCGGAGCUGGGCGACAUCACGGGGUUCUACAUGAUCGACGAGGAGGGGACGCUGAGCUCCGUGGACGUCAGCGCCAAGUUCGUCAACGGCAAGCCGGCGGCCGUGGAGGCCAAGUACGUGAUGCGCACCCCCAGGGACUGGGACCGCUUCAUGCGCUUCAUGGAGCGCUACUCCCAGGCCAACGGCCUCCAGUUCCUCAAGAAGUAG
Molecule: ribosomal RNA, 672 nt
Filed under: Triticum aestivum (bread wheat)
Lineage: Eukaryota; Viridiplantae; Streptophyta; Magnoliopsida; Poales; Poaceae
Description: partial small subunit ribosomal RNA
Source: RNAcentral